RNAcentral lists this transfer RNA (100 nucleotides) under Lachnellula cervina. It matches the Rfam family "tRNA". From Rfam's summary of the family: Transfer RNA (tRNA) molecules are approximately 80 nucleotides in length. Their secondary structure includes four short double-helical elements and three loops (D, anti-codon, and T loops). Further hydrogen bonds mediate the characteristic L-shaped molecular structure. tRNAs have two regions of fundamental functional importance: the anti-codon, which is responsible for specific mRNA codon recognition, and the 3' end, to which the tRNAs corresponding amino acid is attached (by aminoacyl-tRNA synthetases). tRNAs cope with the degeneracy of the genetic code in two manners: having more than one tRNA (with a specific anti-codon) for a particular amino acid; and 'wobble' base-pairing, i.e. permitting non-standard base-pairing at the 3rd anti-codon position. Lineage: Eukaryota; Fungi; Ascomycota; Leotiomycetes; Helotiales; Lachnaceae. The record is from Rfam by way of RNAcentral.
GGCCUGAUAGUUCAGUGGUAGAAUUCUUGCUUUGGGUUUCACUUGCCAAUGGCUAGAGCUCACAUGUAAGAGGUCUCCGGUUCGAUCCCGGAUUAGGCCC